Molecule: ribosomal RNA, 220 nt
Filed under: Nitrospirota bacterium
Lineage: Bacteria; Pseudomonadati; Nitrospirota
Description: partial 16S ribosomal RNA
Rfam family: Bacterial small subunit ribosomal RNA
Source: RNAcentral
ACUUUUGAGAGUUUGAUCCUGGCUCAGAACGAACGCUGGCGGCGCGCCUAACACAUGCAAGUCGAACGAGAAUCCGGGGCAACCCGGUAGUAAAGUGGCAAACGGGUGAGGAAUGCAUGGGUAACCUGUCCUUGAGAAGGGAAUAACCCGCCGAAAGGUGAGCUAAUACCCUAUACGCUUCGCUUUUUUUGAAAAGUGAAGGAAAGUCAAGCCGUGGGCU